RNAcentral lists this unclassified non-coding RNA (1786 nucleotides) under uncultured fungus. Its description in RNAcentral is "sequence contains 18S rRNA gene, ITS1, 5.8S rRNA gene, ITS2, 28S rRNA gene". The stretch from base 644 to 1786 matches the Rfam family "Eukaryotic large subunit ribosomal RNA", at positions 1 to 961 of the family's 3401-position model. The record is from RNAcentral. Lineage: Eukaryota; Fungi.
GGAGGGAUCAUUAGUAAAUCAAAUUUGGAUCCAGGUGGGCCGAGUAGCAGCAGCCGAGGGAUCGGGUGCGAAAGUCCCACAUCAGGAAACGUGACCGGUUCAAGUCUCGUGACCCCGCGAGCCCGACUCGGGCAAGCGGACGCGAGCCCAGUACACCGAAAUAUGGAGAGGCGAGAAAAGGAGAGCCGAGCGAGAGAGCUCGCCCCGAGGGGCUUGUUGUCUUGUCGCGCUCGAGAAAGAAAUAAAAAGGGAGAACUUUUAACAACGGAUAUCUUGGUUCUCGCAACGAUGACGAGCGCAGCGAAAUGCGAUACUUAGUGUGAAUUGCAGAAUUCAGUGAAUCAUCGAGACCUUGAACGCAAAUUGCACCUGCAGUCAUCUGCAGGUACACCUGUUUGAGUGCCUAUACAGACGCAGCCCAAGGGCGAAAUUGGGGGUCCGAGCGCAGGCUCUGUCCCCUCAAAGAGAGAGGAGGGCGAGGCGAGCAGGCCUGUUGGUUCCAAAACGGCGCGAUGGCACACCCGGUGUGGUAUCGUUUCGUCGCUAGUAAGAUCAAAGGUCGCUCAAAGAAAGCCUAGUCCUCAGGGGAAGUGCGGCAUCGACCGCACGAAAGAGGGUUCCAAGCGGACCCCUCGACCACCUGGGGCCUCAAAUCAGGCGAGACUACCCGCUGAACUUAAGCAUAUCAAUAAGCGGAGGAAAAGAAACUAACAAGGAUUCCCUCAGUAACUGCGAGUGAAGUGGGAUAAGCUCAAGCUUAAAAUCAGGGGCAGUCUAUGCCCCCGAAUUGUAGUUUUGUGAACGGCCUCACUGGCGAGCCGCCUUGGUAUAAGUCCUCUGGAACGAGGCGCCGAAGAAGGUGAUAGCCCUGUGCACGACCAAGGGGUACCGGCUCGUCGACCGUGUUGCCGAUUCGGAGAGUCGGGUUGUUUGGGAGUACAGCCCAAAGUGGGAGGUAAAUUCCUUCUAAAGCUAAAUAACGGCGAGAGACCGAUAGCGAACAAGUACCGUGAGGGAAAGAUGCAAAGAACUUUGAAAAGAGAGUUAAAAGUGCUUGAAAUUGUUAAAAGUGAAGCGAUUGGGCGCAGUACAUGCUCGCCGCCAACUCAUCCGUCUGGGCGGAGUUGGUGCGGUUGCCGUGAGUGUCCCAAGUGGCAUCACGCUGCCGUUACCUGGCGUCGUCCGGGCGGAGCAUUUUGGUGGUGGGCGAGUCAGCAUCAGCGAAGUUAGCGGGAGAAGGCCCUGAAGGAGGUGCCAUGCUGUUGGUCUCGGCCAGCGUGUGUGGGUUAAACUUUGGGCGGAUACCGUUGACCUCACUGAGGCAACCUGUGGUUGAUAACCGGCGCCUCUUUUGGCGGAGUAAGGGUGGGACUGGUUCGUUGCGGCGGUGGGGACAGCGUGCUGUGCCUGUUGACCGCGGCGGAUCAUGGCCUGCCCUCUACCGUCCGGUUAAGGAUGCUGACCGAAUGCUCUCAAUCGUCCCGUCUUGAAACACGGACCAAGGAGUCUAACAUAUCUGCGAGUUAUUGGGUGGCAAACCCAGAGGCGCAAUGAAAGUGAGAGGUGGGAGUCGCGAGACGCACCAUCGACCGAUUUUGAAAUUUUUGGAUGGAUUUGAGUCGGAGCAAAUAUGUUGGGACCCGAAAGAUUGCGAACUAUGCUUGCAUAGGGUGAAGCCAGGCGAAAGUCUGGUGGAGGCUCGUAGCGAUACUGACGUGCAAAUCGUUCGUCAAAUGUGGGUAUAGCGGCGAAAGACUAAUCGAGCAAUCUAGUAGCUGGUUUCCUC